AGCAGCCGCGGUAAUUCCAGCUCCAAUAGCGUAUAUUAAAGUUGUUGCAGUUAAAAAGCUCGUAGUUGAAUUUCGGGGUUCUACCGUUGGUCGGGCUAUAGUCUGUACUGGCGCGUGGAAUUUCUACCUUCUGGGGAACUAUCAUGUUAUUAAUUUAGCGUGGUAGGAAACCAGAACCUUUACCUUGAAAAAUUAGAGUGUUCAAAGCAGGCUUACGUCUGAAUACAUUAGCAUGGAAUAAUAAAAUAGGACGGUGGUCCUGUUUUGUUGGUUUCUGAACCACCGUAAUGAUUAGUAGGGAUAGUUGGGGGCAUUAGUAUUCGAUUGUCAGAGGUGAAAUUCUUGGAUUUAUUGAAGACUAACUUCUGCGAAAGCAUUUGCCAAGGAUGUUUUCAUUAAUCAAGAACGAAAGUUAGGGGAUCGAAGACGAUCAGAUACCGUCGUAGUCUUAACCAUAAACUAUGCCGACU
RNAcentral lists this small RNA (470 nucleotides) under uncultured Gigaspora. RNAcentral describes it as "SSU rRNA". It matches the Rfam family "Eukaryotic small subunit ribosomal RNA", at positions 569 to 1047 of the family's 1831-position model. The record is from RNAcentral. Lineage: Eukaryota; Fungi; Glomeromycota; Glomeromycetes; Diversisporales; Gigasporaceae.